This 1383-nucleotide long non-coding RNA is filed under the name Homo sapiens (human). RNAcentral's name for it is "HSALNT0244429". Lineage: Eukaryota; Metazoa; Chordata; Mammalia; Primates; Hominidae. The record is from RNAcentral.
AAAAAUGCAGAAGCAGUGUUCCUCAUGGGCUGUGCCAAACAGACUGAGGGUUGGAUUUAGCCCCCACCUCUUUCAUCAUAGUUUGCACAUCCUUGAUCUUUAAGGACUCUCAGGAAGCCUUGAUAAAGGAAUCUGUGGUAAGAUGAUACUGGGUUUAAUAUUUCCAUUGGUGGUGGAGAAACAAAGAUAAAUAAGACUGUUGUUUUUUUCAUCAAGGAUCUCAUGGUCAAGUUCAAGAUGAAAAUAUAUAAAUAAAUAAUGGUGACAGGGUAUAGUUACUGCAGUUACAGUUAUGUUUACUGGGUAUAGAGGUAAAACAAAGGAGUGAUAAUCAGCUCCAUGUCAAUGUUAAUAAUGACAUUUAGGCAAUAUGAUUAAAAAUUGAGUUUAUUUGAGCAUAAAACUUGAGGAUGGUCACACAGGAGGACACAGACUCCUGAAGGAUGAGGUAAAUGCUCCAAAGUGGAGAGGUUUGAGGGUCCUUUACAUAGGCAAGGCCUGGGGAUGCUUAACAGGGUUACAUCAUUUUUCGUACGAGGUUAGUGCAUAGUUAGAGCAAUUCAAUUAGUUAUAGGCAGUGUUUCUUUUUGGGGGAAGGGUAUAUUUAACAUUUCACAUUAAGGAUGUAAUGGUCAAAGGGUCUUUUAUCACAGUCAGCGGUCUUUUAUCCCUGGCAUCAUCUGGUGUGAUCUAGGAACAAGAAAAUAAGGAAGGAAUUUCAUGUAUAACAAAAGGUCAGUAAUUAAGAGGUCAAGCUUCAUGACCCAGUCUCCAAAGUCAACCUUCAGUGCCGAACAACGUUUAGAAGCCCCAAGUAGACAGACUAUCCAUUUUCUGUUACAUCUGCUUAGGUGGAUGAGAAGUAACCUCUAACAGUCAUUUGUUGGAGGUAGGGAAUGUAUUUUCAGCUAGCCUUUCUGGAAAUCUUUUAAGGAUGCUAAGAAGGUGACCACGUUUCUUAUCAGGAUGGCUCUAAACAUCAGGAUGACUCAACUUAUUUAUUUUAUAGGGUAUAAUCUUAAUUUGUUUCUCACAGAAAUAAACAUGGAUAUGUUUUUAAUCAGGUCUCUAUGAAAAUAAUUUAAAAAAUUUAAAGUUAUUUUACCUGCUACAUAAUAAAUGGAUUGUUUAUUCCACAGGUAUUUAGUACCUCCUCUGCUGUGCAGUGAGUUGUUUUACUAGCUGAAAAUAUUUGAAGGAGAUAAUGGUAUCAUUAGAUAAGUGAUGGAUUUUGCGGGGGAGGUGGGGGAAGAGAGAGGCUCUUCUAAGGAAAGCACUGCUUUUAACAAAGGCAGUAGGUAUAAUAGUAGAACUACCUUAGAUUUUAAAAAAUACUUUAUAGCUUUCAAAUUUCUUAUUUUAAUUAAUUAAAUUCAUGCAUCC